ACCCGCUGAACUUAAGCAUAUCAAUAAGCGGAGGAAAAGAAACCAACAGGGAUUGCCCUAGUAACGGCGAGUGAAGCGGCAUCAGCUCAAAUUUGAAAUCUGGCUCUUUUAGGGUCCGAGUUGUAAUUUGCAGAGGGCGCUUUGGCGUAGGCAGCGAUUCAAGUUCCUUGGAACAGGACGUCACAGAGGGUGAGAAUCCCGUACGUGGUCGCUAGCUCUUGCCGUGUAAAGCCCCUUCGACGAGUUGAGUUGUUUGGGAAUGCAGCUCUAAAUGGGAGGUAAAUUUCUUCUAAAGCUAAAUAUUGGCCAGAGACCGAUAGCGCACAAGUAGAGUGAUCGAAAGAUGAAAAGUACUUUGGAAAGAGAGUCAAAAAGCACGUGAAAUUGUUGAAAGGGAAGCGCUUGCAGCCAGACUUGCCUGUAGUUGCUCAUCCGGGCUCUUGCCCGGUGCACUCUUCUGUAGGCAGGCCAGCAUCAGUUUGGGCGGUUGGAUAAAGGUCUCUGUCAUGUACCUCUCUUCGGGGAGGCCUUAUAGGGGAGGCGACAUACAACCAGCCUGGACUGAGGUCCGCGCAUUCGUGCUAGGAUGCUGGCGUAAUGGCUGU
RNAcentral lists this ribosomal RNA (605 nucleotides) under uncultured fungus. Its description in RNAcentral is "eukaryotic LSU rRNA". It matches the Rfam family "Eukaryotic large subunit ribosomal RNA", at positions 23 to 641 of the family's 3401-position model. Lineage: Eukaryota; Fungi. The record is from RNAcentral.